Punica granatum (pomegranate) is the source of this 848-nucleotide non-coding RNA. NCBI's taxonomy places the organism in Eukaryota, Viridiplantae, Streptophyta, Magnoliopsida, Myrtales, Lythraceae. The record is from RefSeq and is a predicted model, not a curated record.
CUGCGGGGGAGAAGAAGAAGAAACAGAGAAAAGGAGAGGGUGAGUAAGGGAGAAAGAGAGAGAGACGAGUGAGAGAGAGAACAACGAGAGAGAGAGAGAACUAUCGAGAUAGGAAGUCAUCUGAUAAGAAAGAGUUUAAUCUUACAGUUUUUGCUGGUUAUUGACAAAGUUUGGGAGUCGAGGAUACUGAGACUAUACACCCGGAAGGCUCGACUCGUUGAGUUAUCAUUUUGGGGGUCUUUGCAUGGGACCGUUGAUCCGACCGUACAUAAAUCAGGCGCCUAGGCCGUUGAUCCAACGAGAUACAAAAAGGGUCGCUUAGACUGCUGAUUCGGCGGGAUACAAAAAGGGACGCCUAGACUACUGAUCCGGCGGGAUAUAAAAAGGGAGGCCUAGACUGCUGAUUCGACGAAAUAUAAAAAGGGACACCUAGACCGCUUAUCCGACGGGAUAUAAAAUGGACGCCUAAACUCUUACUGCCAGAGAUAAUGGGCAGCCCUCGCUUAAGAUAAAUGAUAUGAGGAAUUUGUGGAUAUGAGUGCGGGAUCACGAUGAGCUAGGAGCUAGACUAGCCACACAUGAUAACUUUUUGGACAACGGGGAUCAGCGCGGAGGAUUUUUGCAGUUAGGCCCACUCAUAAUAUAAAUAGUAAGUUCUUGUAGAAUGCUAUAAUUAUAUUACGACUUGAAACUUUUGUUUGGUUAGUUUAGAGAUGUGGUUGAAAAGAAAAUAUUAUGUUGAGAUGUAUAUAUAGUUAUUAGAACCUGCUGAUUGGUCAUAUGUUUUUGGAAGAUGUGGGAAGUAUGUUUUAUAUAAAUAGUUUAUGUGAUAUUGGAUAUUGAGGAAA